CUGCAUUUUAUUCUGCUGGGUUUUCUCUGCGAGUGGAUUUCUUCUUUCAACUAACAAGCCUCAAAAUUAUUAUGCUGAGAAACUACAUGAUGGAGAGGAGGGAGAUAGGGGACAAAUGUCAAAGGCUUUGUCUGCCAGCCUCCGCUGUCACCUUGGAGAACGAAUGAAGCAGAUCUGGGACAUACGCUCAAAACAUUUUGGAGGAAGAACAAGCCUGGCACGUAAGGAUCUCAAGAGACUUCAACCAUUUGAAACAAUGGUUCUCUCUUCUCUCUUUUUCAUUUCAGGAGCCCAGAGCGGUGUACUACAUACUUGAGUUUCUCCUCACACCAACCCUGUGAAGUCGGUUAGGCAC
Molecule: long non-coding RNA, 355 nt
Organism: Hemicordylus capensis (graceful crag lizard)
Lineage: Eukaryota; Metazoa; Chordata; Lepidosauria; Squamata; Cordylidae
Exons: 3
Source: RefSeq, a predicted model, not a curated record